UAGCAGAGUGGAGAGGCGUUGUGUCGUAGUGGCCACCAGAGGGAGCUGUGUGUGCCGGCUCGUUAGAGAAUGGGAUGAAAACCGUUAGACCUAUACAAGCAGCUUUGUCCUGCUCGCUGCGGUGUGCUAACGUGCCUAACGGUUUUCUACUGUCCUAAAACAGAAGAUUUCCGUGAUGAACUGUGGAGCUUGUUCAAGCUAUGUGAGGAACUGUGGGGCUGGGUAUGUCUUAACAUAUUCGCCAGUUAGGGUGAAUGGCCCGUUGCCAUCUGCGAUUUUGAGUUGUAAGCAGACUAUGCGAGUAUUUUGAGAUGUUACACUAGGUUGAUCAUAUUGUAAGAAGUCUGUGUGAUUUUAUUUCUUUUUUUAUAGAAGUGUGCCUGCUUCAGUUGUUUAUGCACUCA
Molecule: long non-coding RNA, 404 nt
Organism: Poecilia latipinna (sailfin molly)
Lineage: Eukaryota; Metazoa; Chordata; Actinopteri; Cyprinodontiformes; Poeciliidae
Exons: 2
Source: RefSeq, a predicted model, not a curated record